RNAcentral lists this transfer RNA (71 nucleotides) under Margattea nimbata. Its description in RNAcentral is "tRNA-Ser". The record is from RNAcentral. Lineage: Eukaryota; Metazoa; Arthropoda; Insecta; Blattodea; Pseudophyllodromiidae.
GAAAUAUGUAAAGUAAAAGCUGCUAACUUAUUACCAUAACGAAUAAUCUCGUUUAUAUUUCUAUUUAUGUA